UAGGUUCGGGGUAAAGUACUGAUCAUGUCCACGCUGGGAGCACUCUCCCAGAAGUGCUGAACUCAUUAUCUAAAGCUUAUCGAUAUAUUCAAACCCAACAGGUGCCAAUGGUAGAAAACCAUUUUGCUUUGGGAUUUGCAGAUUAAUUAGAUUAGGCAUUUUGGUUACAACAGCUGUAACAGCUGGAGACACUUCAUUUAAUUUUUGAUAGUCAGUACUGAGAUGCCAUGAUCCCUCUGGUUUUUGUCAAACUGGAGAAUUGCAGGUAGAAGUACAUGCACGAAUGAUUUCCUCUUGCAGCAGAGAUUCAAUGGUUUCCGCAGUACAGGUCUGUCACAUCUUAUGCGCAUUUAACAUGCGCAAUUUCAGCUUUACGCGGAUGGGAGCCUGGCCCGGAGGCCCCUGGCUCUGCCCUGGUCGGCGCCGGUCUCUGGCACGGACGGGAGCCUGGCCCGGAGGCCCCUGGCUCUGCCCCGGCCGGCACCGGUCACUGGUGCAGACGGGAGCCCAGCCCGGAGGCCCCUGGCUCUGACCCGGCCCGUUCCAUGUCCCUGUUUCAGAGGCGCAGUCUGACUCCGCCAGGAGCAAGAUGCUGACGGGGGUCGGGGGCUUCGUGCUGGGGCUGAUCUUCCUGGCGCCCGGACUCCUCAUCUACCUGAAGAAUAAGAAAGGGCGCCCCGUUCCCCAACCUGCAGGUAAUUUCAAUCCCCCUCCCCUGUUAAACCCGCCUCCCUCCACACUGAGCACAAGCUGCCUGGGGCACCCGUGGGGUGGCUGGUUCUGCUCCUCGGCCCAUGACACCCGCCCGGCUCAGCCCCUGGGCAACUGGGCACUGGGGCAUUGGCCCCGCGGAGGAGGAGACUGCAGUCCCCUCGGUCCCCGUUCAGGCCGAUCCCUGAGCUGCUCCUGGGGGCAGAGGGCCCUGGGUCCUGCCGAGCAUCGCCCAGCCCUGCGGCUGCCGGGCAGAGUCACUGGGGCACCCUGGGGCCUGGCAGAGAAAAUUCCCCAUCCGUCCUGCUAGUCCCACGGCCAGGGGCUGAUUUCUCUCCCCUCUCCCUGCAGGGCUCCUGAGUUAGAUCCUGAGCGUCAGAUCCCCUGGCCGGCAGGAGUUUCCGUCCAUCUCUCCCAGCACCUCGCCCAGCCUGGAGAAUGCAGGACCUGGGGCCGGUCCCUUCCUGUCCCCGCCUGCUCCCCGCGCUCUGCCUGGCUCCAGCCCGCGCUGCCCCCCCGGGGACCCGUCCCUGCCCCUCAGUCCCUGCAGGGUCUGCCUCGGUGUGACCCCUCCUGUGUUAACCCUUUUCCUGCCCCAGCCCAGCCCCACUUUCCCUCUCGCUGACCCCACUGCCCUCGGGGAACCUUUGGGGGAUGCUGCUCCGCACCCGGGGGGGAAGCUGGACUGAGGCUGGGCGCUUUUAGAACUGCUGCACCCUAAUAAACCAUUCCCAGCCCCCCCUCUCCUCCCCCCG
Molecule: long non-coding RNA, 1466 nt
Filed under: Gopherus agassizii (Agassiz's desert tortoise)
Lineage: Eukaryota; Metazoa; Chordata; Testudines; Testudinidae
Description: lncRNA (ENSGAGG00000001839.1)
Source: RNAcentral